Molecule: ribosomal RNA, 301 nt
Filed under: uncultured bacterium
Lineage: Bacteria
Description: partial 16S ribosomal RNA
Rfam family: Bacterial small subunit ribosomal RNA
Source: RNAcentral
CAGCAGCCGCGGGAAUACGUAGGUGGCAAGCGUUGUCCGGAAUUAUUGGGCGUAAAGCGCGCGCAGGUGGUUUAAUAAGUCUGAUGUGAAAGCCCACGGCUCAACCGUGGAGGGUCAUUGGAAACUGUUAAACUUGAGUGCAGGAGAGAAAAGUGGAAUUCCUAGUGUAGCGGUAAAAUGCGUAGAGAUUAGGAGGAACACCAGUGGCGAAGGCGGCUUUUUGGCCUGUAACUGACACUGAGGCGCGAAAGCGUGGGGAGCAAACAGGAUUAGAUACCCCAGUAGUCCCUGUCUCUUAUAC